This is a long non-coding RNA of Drosophila pseudoobscura, 1376 nucleotides long. RefSeq lists it as uncharacterized. The transcript has 2 exons. The record is from RefSeq and is a predicted model, not a curated record. NCBI's taxonomy places the organism in Eukaryota, Metazoa, Arthropoda, Insecta, Diptera, Drosophilidae.
GCGUUGACAUUUGCGCCUCAUGUUGUGUUGUGGGCCCCUUGUCUCGAUCGGAGUCUGAAUUAUGGCCGGCCAACAGGCAAAACAAACAGAAAUCAAACGCAACAAAAGGCCGAGGACCGGGUAGACCGGAGUUUUCUGCCAUUUCUAUUGUGCGUGUGUGCCUUCUGUUUACACUCGUGUCGAUUGUCCCCCCCGUCGAUGUAGUAGCGUGAAAUAUCGCAACAAUGGCAUCAUAUAUUUCCCAAUACUCCUGGCCAGUACUCCUCCUCCAUCGGGCAUCGAACAUGAUGCAUGGGCGCCGCAUCUAACGGUGGACACAAAAAAACAAAAGACUUAAGCAACAAACUUUUUGGUCAAGCCAUGGGGACAAUCGAUUAGGGGAGUUGUUGCUGGGGGCGGGAGGAGAUUGCCAAAAAUUCCUCAACGAAAAGCCCAAGAAAAUUUCCACAGAAUAUCUGUCAAGAAAAGUAUUUGGAAAAAACGUCUGCCUCUCUCCGUGGAGUUCUCUUUUCCCAAGAUCUCUGAAGAUCUGUCUACAGGCUGUCGACCCUUUCACUUCACGCCACUCAAAAAUCGAAUGCCGAAUGUACGUGCCUGACCACACAAAAUGUGGCUUAAAAAACGGCAGCCAGCAGCGGCAUGAAAUCCCCACAAAACAAAUAGAAGAAACAAAAACAAAAAAACAAGAUUUAUUAUAUUAAAUGCAGGCAUUUAGCGCCACUUAAGCGGCCACUGUGCAACAGCAAGAGGCAGCCACAACAACAACAAAAAAGCCAAGCGAAGCCAAGCAGGAAGUCCACAUAAUUCUCAUCAAUAUCAAUAAUAGUUUUUGUUCAGCUUUCGUUUUUUGUCGUGUAAUGAUUGUUAUGUUUAUAUUUUUGUGGAGAACGUGGUUCAGUGGCAGGUUGGCAAGCGCCAGUGACAUUGCAGCAGGCGGCGCACAUCCAGAUCCACAUCCACAUCCAGGGAGCCCAUCAAAUAAUACUAAUAAUAACCAUAGUAAUAACAACAAGCAAUUUCAGCAAAAUGCAGCACGUCCUCGGCAACAAAUCGAAGCUGCAACAGCAGCCAACAGCCAGCAACUGCAACAUAAAACAGCAGGAGAGGCUGAGGCAGAGGAGGAGGCACUUCCAGUGGCAGUGGCACAAACAGGCUACUGUCUUGGGGCUUCCUGCUUGCCUAGCCGCAAAGUUAUUUUCAAAUUGAUUUGGAUCUAAAUUUAGUCGAGGGCCAUAGGAAUGAAUAUAAUCGUAAAAAGAAACUUUAUAGAAAUGAAUUGUGGAAGGAACAAGGAAGACAAAAAGAAAAUGAAGAGAUUGAAGUGAAAUGUUUUAGUAACUUAUGAAUUGUUAUGUCUUAAAUGAUAGGUAAAAGAA